GGGAGGCAGCAGUAGGGAAUCUUCCGCAAUGGACGAAAGUCUGACGGAGCAACGCCGCGUGAGUGAUGAAGGCUUUCGGGUCGUAAAACUCUGUUGUUAGGGAAGAACAAGUAUGAGAGUAACUGCUCGUACCUUGACGGUACCUAACCAGAAAGCCACGGCUAACUACGUGCCAGCAGCCGCGGUAAUACGUAGGUGGCGAGCGUUAUCCGGAAUUAUUGGGCGUAAAGCGCGCGCAGGCGGUUUCUUAAGUCUGAUGUGAAAGCCCACGGCUCAACCGUGGAGGGUCAUUGGAAACUGGGGAACUUGAGUGCAGAAGAGAAAAGCGGAAUUCCACGUGUAGCGGUGAAAUGCGUAGAGAUGUGGAGGAACACCAGUGGCGAAGGCGGCUUUUUGGUCUGUAACUGACGCUGAGGCGCGAAAGCGUGGGGAGCAAACAGGAUUAGAUACCCUGGUAGUCCACGCCGUAAACGAUGAGUGCUAAGUGUUAGAGGGUUUCCGCCCUUUAGUGCUGC
Molecule: ribosomal RNA, 515 nt
Filed under: Priestia megaterium
Lineage: Bacteria; Bacillati; Bacillota; Bacilli; Caryophanales; Bacillaceae
Description: bacterial SSU rRNA
Rfam family: Bacterial small subunit ribosomal RNA
Source: RNAcentral